AUGAACUCGGAUCUGUGCAGGCCCUACUCUGACAAGGAGAUCAAGUUGGCGCUGUUUCAAAUGGGUCCUGCCAAGGCUCCCGGACCGGGCAGGUUCCCUGCCCUCUUUUAUCAAACUCAUUGGGAUUUCUUGGGGGAGGACAUCUGUCAGGCGGUUCGGGGUUUCUUGGAGGGGAGGCCGAUUCCAGAAGGUUUUUGUGACUCCGUCAUUGUGCUGAUUCCGAAGACUGUCAAGCCCAAACACCUCAAGAACUUCCGCCCCAUCAGUCUCUGUAAUGUGCUCUACAAAAUUGCUUCCAAAGUCUUAGCUAACAAACUGAAGGCCAUUCUGCCUAUGGUGGUGUUUGAGACUCAAAGUGCCUUCGUCCUGGGCAGGUUGAUCAUGGAUAAUGCAUUGAUUGCUUAUGAAUGCCUUCACACAAUCAGGAAACAACGCGUGAAGAAACCUUUCUUUGCUCUCAAGAUUGACAUGAUGAAGGCUUAUGAUCGUGUGGAGUGGAGUUAUCUCCAUCAAUGGUUGGCUAAGCUGGGUUUUGCAUCUUCCUGGAUUGACACUGUGAUGUGUUGUGUGACUAAUGUCCGGUAUGCUGUCAGAGUCAAUGGGGAGCUUACGCAACCGGUGAUUCUGUCACAUGGCAUUAGACAAGGUGACCCAAUCAGCCCUUAUCUUUUCCUCUUAUGCACCAAAGGUCUAUCUAGUCUGCUAUUCCAUAAGGAGGCUUGUGGCGAGCUACAUGGGAUUCGAAACGACCGUCAUGGCCCGUCUAUCUCACACCUCCUUUACGCGGAUGAUAGCAUUUUCUUUGCUAAGAGUGAUCCUCAGAGUGUGGCAUCCUUGGAAGCUACGCUCAGUUCUUAUUGUGCGGGUUCGGGACAGGCAAUCAAUCGUGACAAGUCAGCUGUUCUCUUUGGCAAUCAUUGUCCAACGGAAGUCAAGGACAGAGUGAAGCACCAGUUGGGCAUAAGGAGUGAGAAUUUUAAUGGAUCUUAUUUGGGUAUGCCUAUGGAGGUGGGCAACUCUCCUACAAAUACUUUCAAGUUCUUGACUGAUAAAGCAUGGCAGAAUAUUUUUGGUUGGGCGGACCGGCCUUUGUCCAGAGCUGGGACUGAGGCAUUGCUGAAAUCUAAGACUCAAGCAAUCCCCACCUUUAUUUCGAGCUGUUUCCGCCUUCCAGUAGCUAUAUGUGAGAAGUUCAGGCAAAUCGUGGCUGAUUAAUGGUGGGGUCGCCAGGAUGGCAAGAAGAAGAUGCACUGGCGCUCGUGGGACUGGCUAUCCACUCCAAAAGCUCUCGGAGGCAUGGGUUUCAGGGAUUUGGCGCUCUUUGACCAGGCGAUGCUUGGUAAAACAUGGCUGGUGCCUCCUGACCGAGCCCGGGUCGCUUUGCACGCAGGUUCUAAAGGGGAGGUAUUUUCCUUUCACUGA
RNAcentral lists this ribosomal RNA (1422 nucleotides) under Triticum aestivum (bread wheat). RNAcentral's name for it is "partial small subunit ribosomal RNA". The record is from RNAcentral. Lineage: Eukaryota; Viridiplantae; Streptophyta; Magnoliopsida; Poales; Poaceae.